RNAcentral lists this non-coding RNA (77 nucleotides) under Candidatus Omnitrophota bacterium. Its description in RNAcentral is "Omnitrophica bacterium Fluoride sequence". It matches the Rfam family "Fluoride riboswitch aptamer (crcB RNA motif)". Lineage: Bacteria; Pseudomonadati; Candidatus Omnitrophota. The record is from RNAcentral.
CCACGUAAGGGCGAUGGAGUUCGCCGGAUAGUCCUCGUGCUUUUUAGCGAUGUGGGAAUGAUGACUCCUACCGAGAA